RNAcentral lists this ribosomal RNA (275 nucleotides) under uncultured prokaryote. Its description in RNAcentral is "partial 16S ribosomal RNA". It matches the Rfam family "Bacterial small subunit ribosomal RNA", at positions 524 to 798 of the family's 1533-position model. The record is from RNAcentral.
UACGGAGGAUCCGAGCGUUAUCCGGAUUUAUUGGGUUUAAAGGGUGCGCAGGCGGAAGAUUAAGUCGGCGGUGAAAUUUUGCAGCUCAACUGUAAAAGUGCCUUCGAAACUGGUUUCCUUGAGUGUGGAUGAAGUAGGCGGAAUUUGUGGUGUAGCGGUGAAAUGCAUAGAUAUCACGAGGAACUCCGAUUGCGCAGGCAGCUUACUAAACCAUAACUGACGCUCAGGCACGAAGGCGUGGGGAUCAAACAGGAUUAGAUACCCCUGUAGUCCCU